This 88-nucleotide transfer RNA is filed under the name Caproicibacterium amylolyticum. Its description in RNAcentral is "Oscillospiraceae bacterium LBM18003 tRNA-Ser". It matches the Rfam family "tRNA". Rfam says of the family: Transfer RNA (tRNA) molecules are approximately 80 nucleotides in length. Their secondary structure includes four short double-helical elements and three loops (D, anti-codon, and T loops). Lineage: Bacteria; Bacillati; Bacillota; Clostridia; Eubacteriales; Oscillospiraceae. The record is from RNAcentral.
GGAAGAUUGUCUGAGUGGCUUAAAGAGCCUGCUUUGAAAGCAGGUAAGCAGAAAUGCAGCAGGGGUUCGAAUCCUCUAUCUUCCACCA